Molecule: non-coding RNA, 2498 nt
Organism: Pelobates cultripes (western spadefoot toad)
Lineage: Eukaryota; Metazoa; Chordata; Amphibia; Anura; Pelobatidae
Source: the annotation of a GenBank genome assembly
AGGAGACACUCUUCACUUGCAAAGCAUACAGGAGCAUCAGGGGUGGUAAAAUAGGCCAGGGUCCACAUUCCCCAAUCUACAGUCUAAGCAAAGCAACAGAAGGAAAGUUUCACAUCCCUACAGCCUGUCUGGAUACACUGGAGAGGGACCUGCGGGAAAUGCUGUAAACAGUAAGUGAUCGAUCAACAUCUAUAGAGUGCAUUUCUUUUUUACAGUUUAUGUUUUAGAAGCUCCGAAAUAAUAGCUUUAAUUUAAAUAAUGGCAAUUUCAUUUAAGAACAGAAGAGAUACAGUUCUUACAAAAUUAACAAUAUAAUAUAAAUAUAUAUACAGUUCAUAGGAGUGUUCUAGAGUUAGAACACUCCGUAAGAUAUACAAAUAAGGACAUUUCAAGUUUAUAGUUAAUAAAAGUGUCAAAUCUCAAUUUUAGGCAAGAUAUAAAUAUAUUUCCGUGGCCAUGAAUGUUUUCUUCUGCAGACUGCAUACAUAACUACUAAAUAUUUUCUGGAGUUCUACAGGGCUUCUGGUUAUCAGAUUAAUUUGGCUUAAACUCUGCAAUAAAAUUGGCAAGUGGAAAUCCAUGCCAACUUCAAAUGAAGCCUGUAGUUCUGCAUAGACUUAGCACGGAACCCUGCGGUUAUGAAGCUUAUUCUAGGCUUAAUAUUAAAGAAAAUAGCUCUACAUAAACUAAAGAUAGAACUCUGCAGAAACUUCUCAUAGAACUCUUUAGCUCUCCAUACACCAACCACUGGAGCCAACAGCUCUCCGUCCACUGAACUCUGUAAAUGGAUUCUGCAGUUCUCAAAACAAUAGACCUUGUAGUAUUCCAUAAACGUUACACUGAGAUGAAGUGUACUUAAUUAACUAAACUUUUCAAGAUCUCAUACAUGCUAAUAUAUAGCUUCUGCAUUUAUCAAUGUUGAUCUCAAAUGGUUCAAAUCACAGUAUAAUCGAUGUAGUUUACCGAGUAUAAGACAAAAUUGGAAUGAAAUGAAAACUGAAUUUUAAAAUGUAGGCAAAAGGUGUUGACUUUUGGAAAAAAUUCUCAAAACACAUUUAUGGUCAUUGCUUCAAUAUUUUUCUGUACAUUUUGCAAUUUGUAUUUGGUUCACUACUGCUCAGUGUUUAAUGAAUACAAACUUAAUGUGAUUAAGAUGGGAAAAUAGCAAAACUUUUUUUUUUAUGUUUUAGGGCUAUUUGUUACUUCAAGUCCUCAGGAAAUUUGAUUUUCUGUAUUAAAUGUUAUAGUUUGCUUAUUUAGCACAAUGAAUGGAUGAUUUAGUCUGUAUAAGUUUCUUUUUUUUAUUAUUAACUGUUCUAAUUAUAAAAUAGCCGCAAUUUAAAUAAUACCAUAAACAAGCAGAUUUCAAGUUCAACGCUGACCAAUAAAUAAAUUAAUACCAUAAAUAAAUACAUAUUAAACUUAAUCUGUUAACACAAUAAAAAUAUGUAUAUUUUUUUAGCUAAUAUAAACCAUUAAAGUCUAACAUUUUAGUAGUUAAUUUGUGAAAAAUAGAGGCUGAAAUAAUGUUUUGUUGAAGCUGUGUUGUCACAAGGAAGGCAUGAAAAUACUAACUAUUUUUACAGUCUAAUCAGUCAAAUAUAAGUUGCUAAUUUCAAAUGAACUCAAUGGGUUGUACUGAACUGCAAUUUGAGUGUAGUUCCCCAUCACCUCUAUGGAGAGCUUCCUAAUGUAAAUUGUAAUUACCAACACUCAAAUCCAGGUUUGGUGAAAUUAUAUGAGUUUCAGACCAGUUUUAAUAGCCGGAUUCUGUGGAAAGACAGUUAGUGAUAACCAUUGGUAUACAGUGUCAUACUCCCAAACCAGGGGGAUCCUACACUGUAAUCAAAAGGUUUGCCUGUACAUCGGGUAUGUAUUCAGCUGCACGUACAUAUGUAAAUGAUACAUUUAACCAUGUAAAUGAUACAUUUAAGAAGGAAAUUUAUCAAACAUUGAAACAUAGAAUGUGACGGCAGAUAAGAACCAUUCGGCCCAUUUUUGCCCAAUUUUCUAAAUACUUUCAUUAGUCCCUGGCCUUAUCUUAAAUCCAGGAUAGCCUUAUGCCUCAUGGCAAAAACAGCUGCUGUUCUGGGGCAAAUAACUAUAAAAAGGUCCAAUUACUAACGAAACCAAUAGAAUGUAUCUGAACAUUUAGCACUUUGCACCAAUGAUUACUGCUCCGAAGCCAAACAUUCUAUAUAACGAAGAAAGAACUUGGAAUCUAUAUUGUGUUUGACAACUCAUUAUCAAAUCUUUUUUUUGUGAUUUCCAGGAGUUCUGUAAACAUAGUUGUCUUAACCAGUAAUACUUGGUGACCAGUGCAUCACCCUUUGAUGAUCCAGUCCAUUUGUACGUCCAUCCAAGACAUGUGAAGCUGGCGUUACUCUCUUUGUGCCUGCAAUGCCCGUAGAGAUGCCCUGGUGGUCCUGGUUCCUCUUUUCCUUGCUGCUUUUUCCACCAAUCUCUGGAACCUCGUGCCCCAAUGGCUGUGAAUGUAC